UGAAUUGCAGAAUUCAGUGAAUCAUUGAAUCUUUGAACGCAAAUGGCGCUCUUGGGUUCUCCCAGGAGCAUGUCUGUCUGAGUGUCU
This 87-nucleotide ribosomal RNA is filed under the name Pocillopora damicornis (cauliflower coral). RNAcentral describes it as "partial 5.8S ribosomal RNA". It matches the Rfam family "5.8S ribosomal RNA", at positions 68 to 154 of the family's 154-position model. From Rfam's summary of the family: 5.8S ribosomal RNA (5.8S rRNA) is a component of the large subunit of the eukaryotic ribosome. It is transcribed by RNA polymerase I as part of the 45S precursor that also contains 18S and 28S rRNA. The record is from RNAcentral. Lineage: Eukaryota; Metazoa; Cnidaria; Anthozoa; Scleractinia; Pocilloporidae.